Molecule: ribosomal RNA, 500 nt
Filed under: uncultured Glomeraceae
Lineage: Eukaryota; Fungi; Glomeromycota; Glomeromycetes; Glomerales; Glomeraceae
Description: SSU rRNA
Rfam family: Eukaryotic small subunit ribosomal RNA
Source: RNAcentral
AGCAGCCGCGGUAAUUCCAGCUCCAAUAGCGUAUAUUAAAGUUGUUGCAGUUAAAAAGCUCGUAGUUGAAUUUCGGGGUUAGUAGGCUGGUCAUGCCUCUGGUAUGUACUGGUCUUACUGACUUCUCCUUUCUGAAGAACUGUAAUGCCAUUGAUUUGGUGUUGCAGGGAAUCAGGACUGUUACUUUGAAAAAAUUGAGUGUUUAAAGCAGGCUAACGCUUGAAUACAUUAGCAUGGAAUAAUGAAAUAGGACGUUCGAUCCUAUUUUGUGGUUUCUAGGAUUGACGUAAUGAUUAAUAGGGAUAGUUGGGGGCAUUAGUAUUCAAUUGUCAGAGGUGAAAUUCUUGGAUUUAUUGAAGACUAACUACUGCGAAAGCAUUUGCCAAGGAUGUUUUCAUUAAUCAAGAACGAAGUUAGGGGAUCGAAGACGAUCAGAUACCGUCGUAGUCUUAACCAUAAACUAUGCCGACUAGGGAUCGGAUGAUGUUAAUUUUUAUGUA